CAGUAGCCGCGGGAAUACGGAGGGUGCAAGCGUUAAUCGGAAUUACUGGGCGUAAAGGGUGCGUAGGCGGUUAGUUAAGUCUGUCGUGAAAUCCCCGGGCUCAACCUGGGAAUGGCAAUGGAUACUGGCUGGCUAGAGUGUGUCAGAGGAUAGUGGAAUUUCCGGUGUAGCAGUGAAAUGCGUAGAGAUAGGAAGGAACAUCUGUGGCGAAGGCGACUAUCUGGGCCAACACUGACACUGAGGCACGAAAGCGUGGGGAGCAAACAGGAUUAGAUACCCCAGUAGUCCCUGUCUCUUAUAA
This 301-nucleotide ribosomal RNA is filed under the name uncultured bacterium. RNAcentral's name for it is "partial 16S ribosomal RNA". It matches the Rfam family "Bacterial small subunit ribosomal RNA", at positions 509 to 809 of the family's 1533-position model. The record is from RNAcentral.